This is a long non-coding RNA of Mus musculus (house mouse), 2596 nucleotides long. RefSeq annotates it as predicted gene, 47593. The record is from RefSeq and is a predicted model, not a curated record. The transcript has 3 exons. Lineage: Eukaryota; Metazoa; Chordata; Mammalia; Rodentia; Muridae.
UUAAUGGACUGAACCUCUGAACCUCAUUUCUAUGAAUCACUGCCACAUCUGGGCCUUAGCAUCCUUGCUGUAGAGGGACCACCCCCAUCCACCUGCAUCUCGUGAAACUACCCAGGGGAAGGACCACGGAAGAGGGACGCUGCAGGGGAGGUUUUUACUGAUGUUUCUCUGAGUCACAGUUUCAUGUGUCUUGAGCUUACUACGUAGCUGAAGAUGGCCUUGAACUUGGAUCCUUCUGUGUCCCCCCUCAAGUGGUGGGAUCGCAAGAGUACACCACAAGGCUUGAAUUACUAAGCGAACACUCUCCACACUGAGCUACAUCCCAGCACAUCAGCUGCUGCUUAAUUGACCAUCUGCCUGUUUCAAGUGUUCCUUCAGGUGUGGAGGCCACCCCUAGACCUUAGAGCAGGGUAAUUCUCAACACUUGGGUCUUGUCUCACCCACUUGGGAGCAGAACAACCCUUUCAACAGGGGUCACAUAUCAGAUAUUGACAUUGUGACAUACAACACUAGCAGAUUUAGUUACUUUUUUACGGUUGGGGUCACCACAACAUGAGGAACUGUAUUAAAGGGCCGUAGUGUUAGGAAGGUUGAGAACCAAUGAGAGCAAGACGAUGCUCUCUCAAACCCCAGAGUGGUUAUCUCUGCACCCUACCAGAGUGGCUCCCCUUCCUGCCCCAGGUCUCUGUACUUGAGGCUGAGGGGUCUAGGCAGGCCCCAGGACCACCUCGGCACAAAGAAACAAUGCACAAAGGACAGAGGUUUACUGGAACCUUCCCAGCCCUCUCUUGUCUCCCACUGCCUUGUCACGACACUCUGCAUUCACGGUCCCGGCAGCAUGCUUCAGAAACCAGAGCUGCCCUAAACUGGGGCCCUGCUGCGCAGCAGGGCCUAGGCGCCAGGCCAAUUUGCUGGUGGUGAAGCUAAGUUCUGCUUCUCUGAGUCUAUUGAUUUUCCUUUUCAAGCCGGCUAUUUGCUUCAGAGUUAUGCCCUCACAUCCUACCAGGAUUCCACCUACGCUGCUCUCUGUACUGCCACAUCCUGCCAGGCACACAGCCUCUGACCCUCCGAGGCUUACUGACAGCUCCUGCAGCCGCAGCCAGCCCACACAAGCCUGCCUUCCCAGACCCCGGUGACCCGAGACUCUACUCGCACAAAGCAUCUUGGAGAGGGGGCUGGUUCUUCAACACAGGUAGAACUGAUACAAUUUCAGGCCAGGGCCGGGAAGUGACUGCCAAGGUCACCUAGCUAGGACAGAGCUGAGCUAAGGUUCAAGCCACAGAACACCGCUUGCUACCAACAGGCUAAAACAAAUGGCAACAUAAACCUUUUUGUUUCUUCGCUGUUCAGAAUCUUCCCUGAUUGCCUGUAACCACAGUUGGUUCUGGGCGUCACUGUGUGAUAUAUUUCAUGGGCAUACAUGAGCGUUCACCUACAGCACUGUUCACAGGCUCAGGGCUACCUAGCAGGCCUCACAUGCAUAGAGUUCUGUAAGGAGAAAGCCAGGCGAGAGGUACCUACCCUCUAGGUAGUUCAAUGAAAAAAAGAAAUGAAAAGGAAAGGCCUUGACGGCUCCUAAGUAUGCUGGAGGAAAGCUUAUUACAGAUGUGGGGGAGAGCAGAGCCAGAGGCAGGCAUGUCUGGCAGAAUGGGGAGUGAACAGGAGGCCCCUCAGUCUUGUGAGGAGGGGAAGGGAAGGGCGAGAGGGGAGGGGGAAACCAGAUACAGCAGCCAGGAGGCCCAAAGGAUGAGGUAACCGGAAAUGAUUGGAUUAUAUAGGGAAGGGGAGCUGGGGCAAAGGCAGCCCAGCCCUUGGGCUGGAGAAGUUUAGGGGUGGGGGUGGGGAAUGCCAGUCCAGAGGGCCCUGCAUCACGUUGGGACUGAGGGAUGCAGAGAGAACCUGGCUGCCAGGGUUGGCUUUGAUAUGUGAAAUAGGCUCCUCAACCAUUUGCUUGAAACCUAACAAUAGGAUGGGUCUUCAGGAACGAUAUCCUUCAGGUCUGCUUGGGUAAUGACUGGUUGUGGCGCUGGCCGACAGGUAGAGCCAGCAGGUGGGGUAUAACCAGGGUACCUGUGGCCCCUUUCACUGCUCAAGGAUAGGCCUGUUUGAUAGCAAGAGGCGUUCUAGGACUUGAACCUUAGCUAAGCCCUGUCCUAGCUAGGUGACCUUGGCAGGUGAACCUCAAGCACAUGGGGUUGGAGAGAGAGAGAGAGAGAGAGCGAGAGAGCGAGAGAGAGAGCGCACUAGCUCAUGUUUGUCAGGUGGUUCUGCACCCGGUGUUUAGUUCCUGCAGAUUGCACCAGAAAUGAGGAAUGCAGUUUUUAAAAUAUUAACUUGCUGACAUGCCUGUAUGGAAAUUUCCCAAGCGGCUGUGACCACAAUAAACACCCCACACCCCCAGACUCGAGGCUCUCACUUCUGACCUGAUGCAACAGUGAUGGUGAGAGUCCUUGCUCACAAGCUUGUAAUAAAGACCCUUAUGUGUUUACAUCAGAAUGGCUCCUUGGUGGUCUUUGGGGUCCCCGUGACUUGGGCAUAACACUUCUUCCACAUCAUUCUUGUUACUUACUGACGCAACCACCAGGCUAGCUGGCCA